GGGUCCGUAGCUCAGUCGGUAGAGCAGAAGCCUUUUAAGCUUUGUGUCCCGGGUUCGAGUCCCGGCGGACUCACCC
RNAcentral lists this transfer RNA (76 nucleotides) under Candidatus Pacebacteria bacterium CG10_big_fil_rev_8_21_14_0_10_45_6. RNAcentral describes it as "tRNA-Lys". It matches the Rfam family "tRNA". From Rfam's summary of the family: Transfer RNA (tRNA) molecules are approximately 80 nucleotides in length. The record is from RNAcentral. Lineage: Bacteria; Bacillati; Minisyncoccota.